Molecule: unclassified non-coding RNA, 329 nt
Filed under: soil metagenome
Description: partial contains 5.8S ribosomal RNA, internal transcribed spacer 2, and large subunit ribosomal RNA
Rfam family: 5.8S ribosomal RNA (bases 1-120)
Source: RNAcentral
GAUGAAGAACGUAGCGAAAUGCGAUAAGUAGUGUGAAUUGCAGAAUUCAGUGAAUCAUCGAAUCUUUGAACGCACAUUGCGCCCCUUGGUAUCCCGAGGGGCAUGCCUGUUCGAGCGUCAUUUCACCACUCAAGCCUGGCUUGGUGUUGGGCGACGUCCCCUUUGGGGACGCGCCUCGAAACGCUCGGCGGCGUGGCACCGGCUUUAAGCGUAGCAGAAUCUUUCGCUUUGGAAGUCGGGGCCCCGUCUGCCGGAAGACCUACUCGCAAGGUUGACCUCGGAUCAGGUAGGGUUACCCGCUGAACUUAAGCAUAUCAAUAAGCGGAGGA